RNAcentral lists this long non-coding RNA (1011 nucleotides) under Daucus carota (carrot). RNAcentral's name for it is "long non-coding RNA (DCAR_LNC003667)". Lineage: Eukaryota; Viridiplantae; Streptophyta; Magnoliopsida; Apiales; Apiaceae. The record is from RNAcentral.
ACUUUGUGAGCUUGGGCCAGUAAACGGGUAAUAAGCCCAGUUUAAGAGUAAUAAACAAAAGGCAUAAGACGGUUCAUUUUCUCUCAUUCGACUGAGAAAGAAAAUAUACACAAGCAGAAGGAAAGUAAAGUGAGACUAGCAGCUAGAGAAAGAGGUAGAGUUCUUGGUUCCGGUUGUCUUCUCUAAAGUACACUCUCAUUACACUUCCAUUUGGUGAGUUCUCUGAUUUUAUUUUGUGUAACCAUCUUGAUAGAUGAUGAGCUUCAUAUUGUAUAUCCAAGAGUGUACUCUUGAUGAUGUUGUGAGCCUCUAGAUAAGUAGAGAAGAUCAUUGUAAUCCCAUUUAUAAACGUUGAUUAUAGUGGAGAUUUAAGAGGACUAAGGUCCCCGUGGUUUUUCCCGAUUUGGGUUUUCCACGCAAAAAUUCUUGUGUCUGCUAUAUUUCUUGUUAUUAGUUUUUAUAUUGUUUCUGUGCUUAGUGAUACUUGGCCAGAUUUAUUGUUGCAUUGUAGUGCUUGUUAAAUAACUCUGUUUUUGACACACAUAGAGGGAAAGUACUGGAGAUUGCUGCAGAAAGGUAGAUUUCCCUACAAUUUAGAUAGAUCCGAUCAAAAUCGGAUCCGUUUAAAAGCCUAAGUGGGUCUAAUCAAAACAAUGUGUUUGAUUGCAGAGCUUUAGGAAUUUUUGACAACCUGUAACAUACUCAGAAAAGAUAAGUCGAUUGUGAAUGCAGCGGUGCAACAAACAUCUCCCAUGUCCUCGACAAGGAUGUCAUCUCACCUUUCUAAUAGCUUAGUUUUGAAAUAUAAGUUUGAUCUGUUUUGAAAUAUAAGUUUGAUCUUUUAGCAUACACUUCUAAAUCUUUUGACCGCAUAGUUAAAAUCAUUAUUUUUGAAAUUUUAUUUUUUUGAAUAAAAAUAUAUGAUUAACACUAUAAUACAAAAAAAGAAAAUUUGAAAAAUAAUAAUUUUAGCUAUGCGGUCAAAAGACCUAGAAGUGUGUGUCAAAAAAU